RNAcentral lists this ribosomal RNA (781 nucleotides) under uncultured Actinomycetes bacterium. RNAcentral's name for it is "bacterial SSU rRNA". It matches the Rfam family "Bacterial small subunit ribosomal RNA", at positions 28 to 818 of the family's 1533-position model. Lineage: Bacteria; Bacillati; Actinomycetota; Actinomycetes. The record is from RNAcentral.
GACGAACGCUGGCGGCGUGCCUAACACAUGCAAGUCGAGCGAGGUCCAUCCGGUGGCAACACUGGGGAAGACCUAGCGGCGAACGGGUGAGUAUCACGUGAGAAACCUGCCCCGAAGUCUGGGAUAACCCGAGGAAACUCGGGCUAAUACCGGAUGUCCUUCACAGAUCGCAUGGUCAAUGAAGGAAAGAAUUUCGCUUCGGGAGGGUCUCGCGGCCUAUCAGCUAGUUGGUGGGGUAACGGCCUACCAAGGCAUCGACGGGUAGCUGGUCUGAGAGGACGAUCAGCCACACUGGGACUGAGACACGGCCCAGACUCCUACGGGAGGCAGCAGUGGGGAAUCUUGCGCAAUGGGCGAAAGCCUGACGCAGCAACGCCGCGUGCGGGAUGACGGCCUUCGGGUUGUAAACCGCUUUCAGCAGGGACGAAUUUUGACGGUACCUGCAGAAGAAGCCCCGGCCAACUACGUGCCAGCAGCCGCGGUAACACGUAGGGGGCGAGCGAUGUCCGGAUUUAUUGGGCGUAAAGAGCUCGUAGGCGGCUCGGUAAGUCAACUGUGAAAGCUCCGGGCUCAACUCGGAGAGGCCAGUUGAUACUGCUGUGGCUAGAGUCCGGUAGGGGAGCGUGGAAUUCCUGGUGUAGCGGUGAAAUGCGCAGAUAUCAGGAGGAACACCAGCGGCGAAGGCGGCGCUCUGGGCCGGAACUGACGCUGAGGAGCGAAAGCGUGGGUAGCAAACAGGAUUAGAUACCCUGGUAGUCCACGCCGUAAACGUUGGGCACUA